CCUACGGGAGGCAGCAGUAGGGAAUAUUGCUCAAUGGGGGAAACCCUGAAGCAGCAACGCCGCGUGGAGGAUGAAGGUUUUAGGAUUGUAAAAUCCUUUUGGGAGAGAAGAGAAUGACGGUAGCUCACGAAUAAGCACCGGCUAACUCCGGGCCAGCAGCCGCGGUAAUACGGAGGGUGCAAGCGUUACUCGGAAUCACUGGGCGUAAAGCGUGCGCAGGCGGGCUUGUAAGUCAGCUGUGAAAUCCGGGCGCUUAACUACAGAACUGCAUUUGAAACUUUGAGUCUAGAGUGUGGGAGAGGUCGGUGGCAUUCUUGGUGUAGCGGUCACAUCCGUAGAUAUCAAG
RNAcentral lists this ribosomal RNA (346 nucleotides) under uncultured bacterium. RNAcentral describes it as "partial 16S ribosomal RNA". It matches the Rfam family "Bacterial small subunit ribosomal RNA", at positions 338 to 701 of the family's 1533-position model. The record is from RNAcentral.